AACGAACGCUGGCGGCAUGCCUAACACAUGCAAGUCGAACGAGACCUUCGGGUCUAGUGGCGCACGGGUGCGUAACGCGUGGGAACCUGCCUUUAGGUUCGGAAUAACUCAGAGAAAUUUGAGCUAAUACCGGAUGAUGUCUUCGGACCAAAGAUUUAUCGCCUUUAGAUGGGCCCGCGUUGGAGUAGCUAGUUGGUGGGGUAAAGGCCUACCAAGGCGACGAUCCAUAGCUGGUCUGAGAGGAUGAUCAGCCACACUGGGACUGAGACACGGCCCAGACUCCUACGGGAGGCAGCAGUGGGGAAUAUUGGACAAUGGGCGAGAGCCUGAUCCAGCAAUGCCGCGUGAGUGAUGAAGGCCUUAGGGUUGUAAAGCUCUUUUAACCGAGAUGAUAAUGACAGUAGCGGGAGAAUAAGCUCCGGCUAACUCCGUG
RNAcentral lists this ribosomal RNA (433 nucleotides) under uncultured bacterium. Its description in RNAcentral is "partial 16S ribosomal RNA". It matches the Rfam family "Bacterial small subunit ribosomal RNA", at positions 29 to 507 of the family's 1533-position model. The record is from RNAcentral.